GACGAACGCUGGCGGCGUGCUUAACACAUGCAAGUCGAACGGUGAAGCGCCUUCCUUUUUGGUGGGUGUGGAUGAGUGGCGAACGGGUGAGUAACACGUGAGUAACCUGCCCCCUUCUUCUGGAUAACCGCAUGAAAGUGUGGCUAAUACGGGAUAUUCUGGGUCUGUCGCAUGAUGGGUCUGGGCAAGAUAUUGUUUCGGUGGGGGAUGGGCUCGCGGCCUAUCAGCUUGUUGGUGGGGUGAUGGCCUGCCAAGGCGGUGACGGGUAGCCGGCCUGAGAAGGUGGCCGGUCACACUGGGACUGAGACACGGCCCAGACUCCUACGGGAGGCAGCAGUGGGGAAUAUUGCACAAUGGGCGCAAGCCUGAUGCAGCGACGCCGCGUGAGGGAUGGAGGCCUUCGGGUUGUGAACCUCUUUCGCCAGUGAAGCAGGCCUGCCUCGUUUGUGGGUGGGUUGACGGUAGCUGGAUAAGAAGCGCCGGCUAACUACGUG
Molecule: ribosomal RNA, 494 nt
Filed under: uncultured bacterium
Lineage: Bacteria
Description: partial 16S ribosomal RNA
Rfam family: Bacterial small subunit ribosomal RNA
Source: RNAcentral